AAACCACUGUUCCUUUCUCUGUUCUUCUUCUCAGCCAUUUCCACGAACAGGUGCACUGGAGUUGUUGUUGCCUCUCUCUCACCUAGCACCGCUUCUCGAUCUCGAACUGGGCACAAGAUAGGGGAUGUAGCACAAACACCACAUGCAACACGGCGGCCUCUGGCGUGAGCUAGUGCAAGCAGCCAGCAGACUCGCAAGAUGGCUGCCAGGAUGCGAGGUAGCGAGGCGCCGGGCGACGCCGCCCACGCGGGCCGGAACGAUGGCGUGGUUGUGGUCCUCCAUGCCGCCGCAGUGUUCAAACUUCGCCCCCACGACUGGCUAUGGCACUGCUGCGUGCUAUAGGGCUAUUCCCAUAGCCACAGUGACCAGCGAUGAGAAGGACGGAUAGCGGAUGAACAACGAUUCUCUAGCUUUAGCGUCUCCUUGGUUGCCGGUAAAAUUUAGCGUUCCUUUUACCGGACAUUGUUGGACGGCUAGAGGAGGCCAACAUCCGUUAUAUUUACCGGACAUGAAGCUUUAGCGGUCCUUGUUGGACACAUCCUUAGUAGCUACUACCAAAUUUUCAGGGUUCAUAGAUAAUAAUUUGUGAGUGUUCACAGGGAGAAUUUCCAUUAUCGAUUAAAUUGUGUUUGCCAUGAAGCUUCAAA
Zea mays is the source of this 647-nucleotide long non-coding RNA. RefSeq lists it as uncharacterized. The transcript is spliced from 2 exons. Lineage: Eukaryota; Viridiplantae; Streptophyta; Magnoliopsida; Poales; Poaceae. The record is from RefSeq and is a predicted model, not a curated record.